Molecule: small nuclear RNA, 58 nt
Filed under: Erinaceus europaeus (western European hedgehog)
Lineage: Eukaryota; Metazoa; Chordata; Mammalia; Eulipotyphla; Erinaceidae
Description: U7 small nuclear RNA
Rfam family: U7 small nuclear RNA
About the family: Animal histone pre-mRNAs are spliced by a different mechanism than nuclear pre-mRNAs and self-splicing introns. This processing involves the U7 snRNP, which contains only one RNA species: U7.
Source: Rfam by way of RNAcentral
AAGUGUUACAGUUCUUUUAUAAUUUGUCAGGUCUUCCAGUCUGUACUGAGAGCCCUCC